Molecule: ribosomal RNA, 813 nt
Filed under: Tettigomyia vespiformis
Lineage: Eukaryota; Metazoa; Arthropoda; Insecta; Hemiptera; Cicadidae
Description: SSU rRNA
Rfam family: Eukaryotic small subunit ribosomal RNA
Source: RNAcentral
UUGCCAAGAAUGUUCCCGUUAAUCAAGAACGAAAGUUAGAGGUUCGAAGGCGAUCAGAUACCGCCCUAGUUCUAACCAUAAACGAUGCCAGCCAGCGAUCCGCCGAAGUUCCUCCGAUGACUCGGCGGGCAGCUUCCGGGAAACCAAAGCUUUUGGGUUCCGGGGGAAGUAUGGUUGCAAAGCUGAAACUUAAAGGAAUUGACGGAAGGGCACCACCAGGAGUGGAGCCUGCGGCUUAAUUUGACUCAACACGGGAAACCUCACCAGGCCCGGACACCGGAAGGAUUGACAGAUUGAGAGCUCUUUCUUGAUUCGGUGGGUGGUGGUGCAUGGCCGUUCUUAGUUGGUGGAGCGAUUUGUCUGGUUAAUUCCGGUAACGAACGAGACUCUAGCCUGCUAAAUAGACGAUUUCCGGUAUCCACAAUAGUGCUACCGGCGAAAUCAAUAUCUUCUUAGAGGGACAGGCGGCUUUCAGCCGCACGAAACUGAGCAAUAACAGGUCUGUGAUGCCCUUAGAUGUCCUGGGCCGCACGCGCGCUACACUGAAGGAAUCAGCGUGUACACCCUGGCCGAAAGGCUCGGGCAACCCGUUGAACCUCCUUCGUGCUAGGGAUUGGGGCUUGCAAUUGUUCCCCAUGAACGAGGAAUUCCCAGUAAGCGCGAGUCAUAAGCUCGCGUUGAUUACGUCCCUGCCCUUUGUACACACCGCCCGUCGCUACUACCGAUUGAAUGAUUUAGUGAGGUCUUCGGACUGGUGCGCGGCGACCGCCUGCGCGGCCGCCGAUGCCACCGGGAAGAUGACCGAACUUGAUC